AUUCUUUGUGUUUUCCAUUAUUGCAAAAUUAAUAUAUAUAUAUAUAUACUUUUGAUCUUUUCAUCUCCAUGAAAAUAUUAUUAGCUUUAUUUUCAAACAGUUUUUGCAUUUAUUUUGCAAUUAUUAUAAAGCUCGAUGUUGUUAUAACGAAUACAAAAAAAAUGGUGUAAUUCUUUUAUCGUGAAAAUUUCUACUUCUCAUUCUCUAUUCUUUAUUUAUACGUACAAUACACAUAUUUGUGAUCUUUUGUAAUAGCCAGAAGAAGAGAGGGGGAGGGAGGAAACUAUAUAAGCUAAAAAAAGACGCAGAGGAUACAUUAAAGAUAGAACAACAACUCUGAUCUGACGCGAAUCUCGUGUUAUAAUAUUUAUAUAAAUUAAGAGUAGUACACGUAAUAUUUUGAGAGUGAAAUGAGAAUUCUUUUCUACGAUGAUUCCCACAUGGAUAGCCUCAAGAAGAAUGAUAUAUUCGUAAUUUUUUAAUUUUAUAGAUACGUAUUUAUAUAUACGUUCACGAUCGACAUAUGUGGAACAUUGUCUUACGAUGAACAGGAUUAUAUUAAAAUUUGAAUCGAAGCCACGAUUUGGCGGCUCGCCAGCAUCCGUGUUCAUCAACCGGUUGCACGGUAACACAGGUCUCUGCAACCGAGGAGUUUUAACGAUCAAUUAAUUCUUAAUCGUGUUAGUGCUCGUACAAUCCAAUUUUCCGUCGCGGGAAACCGCAACCCUGCACAGAAAUCGAUUAAAAAAAAUUGGAUCGUUGACACGAGCUUGUCAAUUGCCAUCCCUUUAAUCCUCUAUUUUAUUUCUAUUUAAAAAAAAAAAAAAAGGAAAAAGAAAUUAUAACAAGAUUACAAAAGUUAAAUUUUUUUUACAGAGAUACUAGAAUCAAAAGAAUAUAUCUUCACGCGAUAAUUAAUAGUUAUUGAGCCAACGAGUUAUUUUCAAAUUUGAAAUCGAUUCCAAUUUUCCAAUAAAAAUGUAACUAUCUUCUGUUCACAGCGCGAUAAAAUAGAAAAUUUAUCGUUUAAUUUUAAUCACACGUUUAUUAAUAUCGACAAAUAGUAUUUUUCUUUAUUAUUCAAAAAAAAAAAAAAAAGAAACUAUUCUCUCACAAACGUUCUCAAAAACUCGAAAAUAUCAUCGAUAUAUUUGUUAUGGUCGAGUUCUCUGUACUGUGUUUUUGGGAGACGGAAAUCCGGUCGACCACGAUCGAUUCACUUUAUUCACGCAUCCCUCCAACUGUCGGACGGGGUUUCGUCGUUUCACGCGUGCUUCGGCUAUCAUUGAUAUUUACGAGCCACGUAACGUCGCGUCCACAGAGCACCACCCACCCAAUGCUAAAUCCCCUCGAGUUUCGCAAAUUAAACGCACCUGUAGACCUGCAGCGAGCAUCGUAUAUAAUCUCGGUCGAAGCGGCAAAUCUAGCGUUAUAAUAAACGCGAUUUCCAACCGUUUCCAAAGCAGACUCUGUGCGGAGUCAGUAAUUAAUACCGGAGUGGAAUUAAUUCUCUGUAAAUCAUUGCGCCCGCGUAAAUUCUAAAUAAAGUUCCCCAACAUUCUACAAGUGUGUUCAAGUUGGCCCCUUCGAAGGUUGGAGAAACUGGGGGGAAAUGUUGUUGGCCCGUUCAUUUAUUAUAUAAUAAAGAAAAUAGCUUUUAUCGCAUUUGGGAAGUAAAUAUACCCCCCGCUGUUCGAAUGCAGCUUUGGAGUCUAAUAACGAAUGCAUAGGAAAAGAGAGAGGAGAGAAAGGGGAGAAAAAUAAAUAGGGAUCUUUGGAGGGAAAAGAGAUGAAGAAAGAAGUGUUGGAAGAAUUCGACUGGCUCGGAUGGCGGACGGCUUUGAUUAAUUUAAAUUAGACGAAAUUUCCAAGAGCGGCCCAUUGUUCUCCGCAUAAAUAAAGAUUAAGACGCGAGAAUCCAGGAUUAAUUUAUUCAUAGAUCAAUUAAGAAACGCGAGAAACGGGGGUAAAGCGGAAAUAAUUCAUCGGCAAACGGAACAAAAAAGCGUUAAAGGAUAAAAAACCGGAAAAUGGUUCCGGCGAAAGAAAAGAAUAUUAAUCCAAAUGAAGUCGUGCCGCAUAAAAACGAAUAUUUCCACAAUGCUUGCUGUUGUUCAUGACAGAUUUAUUCGUUGUUAUUGUUCUCGCGAAAAAAAAAAAAGAAAAGGAAAAGAAAAGAAAACAUUGACGAGAAAUUAAAUCUUAAAUAACUGAGAGAGAUCAGAAGACGAUUUGACAAAGAGUAUUCAUUUCGAGCUAACAAUUUUCUUAUCAACGUUACGUAAUCGUAUCAUUCGUCAAUUUUAAUAAUUUAUCUGAUAAAUAUAAUUAUGAAAAUGAAAAUGAAAACGAGAAAAAUUCGAAUCGUUUAGAUAUCUCUGAAUUUAUAGAGUUUUGGGUAUCCUUUGAAGAACUCGCAAAUAUUUUUCCAAGAUUUCUACGAUGAAGAAAAAAGUGUUUCUUUACAGUGCUCUGUUACGUGAUAACCCGAGCAACUGCGUGAAAAAAGCAAGACGAAAAAUGAAAGCUGACGAAUCAUGGCCCAGCUUUGAUGCUUUUGAAAGGGGGUAAAAUUAUACCAAAGCUCGCGUACAAACGCAUUUUUACAUUGGAGAAAGAGAAAAGGGGAGAAGGAGGUGGAAAAAAAACGAGAAGAAAAUCGGAAUAUAUCGUGGUAAAGUUCGGUGUUACGUGUCGCAUGCGAAUUCAGGUGAAAUUGAAAAAAAAAAAGGAAUAUUGCAAGGAAUAUUGCAUUUAUAUUAUAAUUUUCAACAUAGUUAUUAUUCGAUUUGCAUAUUCUCCAACAACCCCCUACUAAUUAAUAGCAGUAACUUUACCAAAAGCUUGAUUAUACACUGCAGAUGUACUUUUUUCCCCAGUGGCUCGAGGUUUCGGAUUACACAUGUAAAUGCUGGAUGAGGAAUGAAACGAGAUUAUGAUGGCGAGUUUUGAAUGGGAUCCAUAAAGCUAGUUUCGGAAUAAUCAACUUAACUUUAACGCAAUUGUGCAAAACUAACCACGAUUCACCAGAUCGAUAUUUUACUCGUGAAUAUUUUAAUUUCGAUUAUUAUUGCCAUCGGACAAUUGAGAUCUUCAAUAAGCUUUAUUAAUGACGUAUAACUUCGACGAUUCUCUUCGAUGAUUUAUCAGAUAAAAUAUCAGAUAAUAGAAUUCUAAUGGAUCGAAAGAUAUUACUUUAUUAUUUAUGCGAUCACCGAUAAAAUAGGAUCUGGUAAAUUCGAAUAAUAUUUAUUUUUGAAGCAAUUGGGGAAAGACGAAGGAUAGAGUUUGUUAAAAAUGUUAAAAAAUUUAAUUGAAUUUAAAAUUAUAAUACGCGAUAAAAUAAUUAUCGACCAGUUAUUCACUCUAUGUUUACUAACUUGCAAAAAAUUCCAGGGAAGUUGAGAAGAGACAGAGCUUAGAAAAUUUGUAAAAAUAUUGUAUCGAAAUUCUAUCAACGAAAUUCUAGUUUUGCAAUCGGAUAAUAUUACAAAUCGUUGUAAAUUAAAUUGUACAACGGGAGAAAUACGGGGAGCAAAAUUAAUUACAAUGUUACACGUCGUGUGAACGUAAUAUGAAAUUCCUGCCAUGUAAAAGCAUCCUAAACAUUAUAACGUCGGUAUUAAAUUCCAUGGUGAGCGAAACCUUACGUGAAAAUCUCUCUUUAUAUACAAUGUUAAUUUACGAUACGAGCUUGAUUAAAAUCCAUCUUCUCUUAAUUCAUCGUAUAGAAGAAAUUUCCCAAUUAGAUCUCUUUCAUUUUCUCGUCGAAGAAAUUCUCUUUCUUCUCUAUCUAAAAUUUUUAUAUCGGAUAAGAUCAAUUAUUCUUGAAAGUAUAAUUAAAAAUAAAUACGUAUAACGAAGAUACACUUUU
This is a long non-coding RNA of Apis cerana (Asiatic honeybee), 3874 nucleotides long. RefSeq lists it as uncharacterized. NCBI's taxonomy places the organism in Eukaryota, Metazoa, Arthropoda, Insecta, Hymenoptera, Apidae. The record is from RefSeq and is a predicted model, not a curated record.